AGUGAACGCUGGCGGUAGGCCUAACACAUGCGAGUCGAACGGCAGCACAGUAAGAGCUUGCUCUUACGGGUGGCGAGUGGCGGACGGGUGAGGAAUACAUCGGAAUCUACUUUUUCGUGGGGGAUAACGUAGGGAAACUUACGCUAAUACCGCAUACGACCUACGGGUGAAAGCAGGGGAUCUUCGGACCUUGCGCGAUUGAAUGAGCCGAUGUCGGAUUAGCUAGUUGGCGGGGUAAAGGCCCACCAAGGCGACGAUCCGUAGCUGGUCUGAGAGGAUGAUCAGCCACACUGGAACUGAGACACGGUCCAGACUCCUACAGGAGGCAGCAGUGGGGAAUAUUGGACAAUGGGCGCAAGCCUGAUCCAGCCAUACCGCGUGGGUGAAGAAGGCCUUCGGGUUGUAAAGCCCUUUUGUUGGGAAAGAAAAGCAGCAGGUUAAUACCCCGCUGUUCUGACGGUACCCAAAGAAUAAGCACCGGCUAACUUCGUG
Molecule: ribosomal RNA, 492 nt
Filed under: uncultured bacterium
Lineage: Bacteria
Description: partial 16S ribosomal RNA
Rfam family: Bacterial small subunit ribosomal RNA
Source: RNAcentral